Molecule: ribosomal RNA, 497 nt
Filed under: uncultured bacterium
Lineage: Bacteria
Description: partial 16S ribosomal RNA
Rfam family: Bacterial small subunit ribosomal RNA
Source: RNAcentral
UCUUCCCUCUGGCGGCGUGCCUAAUACAUGCAAGUCGAGCGAGCAGACGAGGAGCUUGCUCCUCUGACGUUAGCGGCGGACGGGUGAGUAACACGUGGAUAACCUACCUAUAAGACUGGGAUAACUUCGGGAAACCGGAGCUAAUACCGGAUAAUAUAUUGAACCGCAUUGUUCAAUAGUGAAAGACGGUUUUGCUGUCACUUAUAGAUGGAUCCGCGCCGCAUUAGCUAGUUGGUAAGGUAACGGCUUACCAAGGCAACGAUGCGUAGCCGACCUGAGAGGGUGAUCGGCCACACUGGAACUGAGACACGGUCCAGACUCCUACGGGAGGCAGCAGUAGGGAAUCUUCCGCAAUGGGCGAAAGCUUGACGGAGCAACGCCGCGUGAGUGAUGAAGGUCUUCGGAUCGUAAAACUCUGUUAUUAGGGAAGAACAAAUGUGUAAGUAACUAUGCACGUCUUGACGGUACCUAAUCAGAAAGCCACGGCUAACUACGUG